RNAcentral lists this ribosomal RNA (432 nucleotides) under uncultured bacterium. RNAcentral's name for it is "partial 16S ribosomal RNA". It matches the Rfam family "Bacterial small subunit ribosomal RNA", at positions 29 to 506 of the family's 1533-position model. The record is from RNAcentral.
AACGAACGCUGGCGGCAUGCCUAACACAUGCAAGUCGAACGAGACCUUCGGGUCUAGUGGCGCACGGGUGCGUAACGCGUGGGAACCUUCCCUUAGGUUCGGAAUAACUCCCCGAAAGGGGUGCUAAUACCGGAUAAUGUCUUCGGACCAAAGAUUUAUCGCCUUUGGAUGGGCCCGCGUUGGAUUAGCUAGUUGGUAGGGUAAAAGCCUACCAAGGCGACGAUCCAUAGCUGGUCUGAGAGGAUGGUCAGCCACACUGGGACUGAGACCCGUCCCAGACUCCGACGGAAGGCAGCAGUGGGGAAUAUUGGACAAUGGGCGAAAGCCUAAGCCAGCAAUGCCGCGUAAGUGAUGAAGGCCUUAGGGUUGUAAAGCUCUUUUACCCGGGAUGAUAAGGACAUAACCGGGAGAAGAAACUCCGGCGAACUCCUU